This 253-nucleotide ribosomal RNA is filed under the name uncultured bacterium. RNAcentral describes it as "partial 16S ribosomal RNA". It matches the Rfam family "Bacterial small subunit ribosomal RNA", at positions 524 to 776 of the family's 1533-position model. The record is from RNAcentral.
UACAGAGGUCUCAAGCGUUGUUCGGAUUCAUUGGGCGUAAAGGGUGCGUAGGCGGCGCGGUAAGUCGGGUGUGAAAUCUCGGGGCUUAACUCCGAAACUGCAUUCGAUACUGCCGUGAUUGAGGACUGGAGAGGAGACUGGAAUUUACGGUGUAGCGGUGAAAUGCGUAGAUAUUGGGAGGAACACCGGUGGCGAAGGCGGCCCCCUGGACCGGUACUGACGCUGAGGCGCGAAAGCGUGGGUAGCAAACGGG